UACGAAGGGGGCUAGCGUUGCUCGGAAUUAUUGGGCGUAAAGGGCGCGUAGGCGGCUUGACAAGUCAAAGGUGAAAUCCCUCGGCUCAACUGAGGAACUGCCUUUGAAACUGUCUGGCUUGAGGCCGGGAGGGGGUAGCGGAAUUCCCAGUGUAGCAGUGAAAUGCGUAGAUAUUGGGAGGAACACCAGUGGCGAAGGCGGCUACCUGGACCGGUUCUGACGCUGAUGCGCGAAAGCGUGGGUAGCAAACAGG
RNAcentral lists this ribosomal RNA (253 nucleotides) under uncultured bacterium. RNAcentral describes it as "partial 16S ribosomal RNA". It matches the Rfam family "Bacterial small subunit ribosomal RNA", at positions 524 to 776 of the family's 1533-position model. The record is from RNAcentral.